UGGCUAAUUUGCAGCCGCUAUCCCUCCAGCUAAAAAAUGUCUAGACAGGGAGGCUCCUGACACAAAUAGAGACAUUAAUGAUUAACAUGAAAUUCAUCUUUACAUCAGUAGCAGGAUAAUGGAAGUUUAUAGGAAUAAAAGGCCCGUUGUCAUUUGGCAGUUUGUGAGGAUGAGCACAUCAUAUUUUAAGGUUUAGGGUCUUUAGACACAUACUCCCUUAGUAUACUAAGGACCUGGAGGCAAUCUUGCCAGACUUCCUCUGCAGGCAUCUUUAAUUUUCUUGUAUCAUAAAUUUUUAUCUUACAUUCUAUACAAGGGGGAAUCACUGAGCUGAUGAGUGAGCCUAACCAUUUGCCCGACACCAUUGCAGAAACUGGUUAUUUUACCAAGGCUUUGACUGGAAUAGUGUGCUUCCCUUUAAGGAAUCAAACUUGACUUUUGGAGCUAAUAAAAGCCCCUUGGGAAAACUGCUCUCUUACCUUGUCUACACAGUCUCUGGACAGAGUUCCUGACCUGUGGGGAGAAGGAAGAAACAAUACAAGAAUUGGCCCCAGGAAAUAUUUAUUCUAAAUCCGGCACAUGCAAAACCCCGAGAUAGCCAUCAAGGACAAAAAUCGUCACUGGGAGGUGGGAAGCCCUGAAGGAAAAGCACUAGUCUUGGUGUCAGAAGACCUAUGCUUGUGUUUUCACGCUGACAGGACAUGUGUAUCUCAACAAGUAUCUUCAUCUUCUGAACCUAUUUCCUCAUCUAUAAAAGGUCACUAACACCCAUUUUGAAAAACCACAUGUAGGUUAGGAGGAUUCAAUGUAUGUGAAAGAGUUCUUCAAACUCCUAAGCACUUGCUGUGCUGAUGGUAAAGGUGAUAAUGAGGAGGAAGGAGUGUCUGCUAUGGGAAAACCACUGUCCUAAAACUUUUAAAUACAUUGUUAAUUAAUCUGCACCAAUAAGUCUACGAAUUAGAUUCUAUCAUAAUCUCAAUUUUACAGAUGAGGUUCAGAGAGAUGACAAAUUUUCCCCAAUAUCACACAGUCAUUUUAAUGGUGGAACAGAAAUUUUAACCCAAAUCUAUCUGGCUCCAUAGUUAACACUCUUAACUACCAUAUUAUAUGGCCCCAAUCUAACUCCCUUAUCUUUGGGAAAUACUUUUAUUUAUAGGUCAAUGACACAGAGUUACAGAUCCUGGGUACAGCCUGGGUCUGUAACUUACUCAAUGUAUAAUGCUGGGUAAGUCUUAACCUCUCUGUGCCUCAUCUGUUAAAUGAAAGAGUUGAACUCUAGGAUCUCUCAAGUUCAUUCCCUUUGAGUUCAUCUAACAUUAUACGGUCUUCGUUCUUGUUGGUACAAUAGUUUAUUAGGUAAUUGUUUAUUAGAUAAUUAACAGUCCAUGUCACCUUGGCUAUCUGCCAAAUGAAUAGAAGCACACUACAGAUAUUAGAGAGGGAGGGUUGAAGGGAAAAGAUUUCCAAGGGCUUUGGCAGGUGGAGAAGGCUUUUUGGAGAGGAUAGGCCUGAACCGUUUCACCAUUAAAAGCACUUUUAUUAUUUUUCUCCAUAGUCACUAUAUUUACAAAGAUUUUAUGUUUACUUAACAUUGUGUCAUGGUCUGGCAAAAGAGAGCAUCUGCAGCCCCUCCAGGAAAGAAGAGAAAUCCUGUAAUCCCUAGAGAGAGUCAGGCAGGAGGACAAAAUUAGUGGCUGCAUGCUUACUGCAGACCAGCACGGUAUGAGAACAGUAUUUUGUCAUCAGCUGUGAGUCAGCUAAAAGUUGAAGCCAAAUGUUCAAGCAUUGUUAGGAGUUGAGUCUUUUCUUUGAUGAAGCAUAUGGGAGCCUCAUUCAUCCACACUUUCCUUGCCUCCACAUCCUUGCCAUUAUGGGAAUGGCAUAUAAGCCAGUGAUGCUCAACCAGAAGUGACUUUGUCCCUUAUGAACUAUAGGCGAUAUCCGAAGACAGACUAAAUGCCAUGACUUGGCUGGGGAGGAAGUGGGAGCUUGUUCCUGAUAUCUAGUGGAUAGAGGCCAACAAUACUUAGGGCAGGCUCCCCACCCUCCAUCCCCAGCAACAGAGAAGUAUCUGGUCCAAAAUUUCAAUAGUGCUGAGGCUGAAAAACUCUGAUACAAGGGAACAGCAGUUACAACAAAGAAAAAGAAAGCCAACUCACCAAGAGCAGCUGUAAAUAGAAACAUCUUAUUUUUACUUUCUCCUCUCCUCCCCAGCAUUAAAAGGAAUAGAAAGGAAAGCACUUGGAAUCCCCAGGACAGCUUGUGGAAGGUUUUGGGGUAGUGUGGGUGGAGCUUUAAACUGAAUAUGAGAUUGAUUUUUAAAAUAACUUCUUAUUUUGAAACAGUUUAAGACUCACAAGAGUUGCAAAAAUUAUAGUAUAAAGUCCCCAUAUACUCUUUAGCUAACUUCUUCCAAUAAUAAUGUUAUAUAACCAUAGUAAAUGGCCAAAACCAGAAAAGUGACUGUGAUGCAAUAAUACUGUUAACUCAGGUGCAGAUAUUAUUUGGAUUUCACCAGGAUAUACGUGCACUCUUUUUGUCUAUUUGUUUUGGUAUAUAGUUCUGUGACAUUUUAUCACAUGGCUAGACUCAAGUACCCAUCACCAUAAUCAAGAUACAGAACUGCUCCAAAUCCACAAAGAAACUCUCUCAUGUGUUACCCCUUAAUAGGCGCACGCUUCCUUCAACCCCAGUCUCUAAUAAACACUGAUCUGUUCUUUAUUACUGUAAUUUAGUCAUUCCAAUAAUUGUAUAUAAAUAUAAUUUUACAGUAUAUUGCCCUUUGAGGUUUUGUUUACUGUUUUAUUUUUCAUUCAGCAUAAUGCACUUGAGUCAUCUAAGUUGUUGUAUGUAUCAAUAGUUUAUUCCUUAUUACUGAUGAAUAGGAGCCCAUUGUAUGGAUGUACCAAAGUUUAUUUAACAAUUUACUUGUUGAAGGAUAUCUGGAUUAUUUCCAUUUCUUGGCUGUUAUAAAUAAAGCUGCUAUGAGCUUUUGUGUUCAUCUUUUUGUGUGAACAUAAGUUUUCAUUUCUUUAGGAGAAAUGCCCAGGAAUGUGAUUGCUGGAUCAUUCAUAUGGAUGUCUUCAGGGCCAUGCAUCCAGAGCUUGACAUUGUGCAGUUGUACCUGAAGCCACUGCUCAUUGGAGAACUUGCCCCAGGAGAGCCCAGCCAGGAAAGACACAAAAAUCUUACAUUUGCCUGACUCUUGAAAUAAUUUUUAUAACGUGUGGAUCCAUAGACCCCUGUGAAGCAGAGGGAGCAAGGAUUUUAUUCUCUCUUAAAAAAAUGAAGAAACAGACUCACAAAGGGAGCAGGACUAAUCUGAGGACACAGAACUGGUUAUGGGCAAAUCUGAGACUAAUAGGCUCAGAGCUCAUUUUUGCAGCAUGACGCGGGGCACCUUUCCAUAUUUAGGAAGUCCAAGUGGAACCACGUGGUGCAUAAAUUUGUGAUGUGCCAUCUCAAGAAACAGUCUUUCCAUAAUCAAAAUGAAGACUCAGAAUCAAUAAGAAAAAUAUUUAAUCGUUGAAGUAUUAAGAAGAUGGAAAUAAAUCACAUCAUCACUAAGUUGCAAGGGCCUGUCAGCAGACCGGUGGAAUUACUGGCACUUUGAACAACACGUAAAGCCGAACAUCUACCCCAAAGACCCAGAUAUUGACACGGACCCACUUUUUCUCCUUGGAGAUUCACAACCUGUCAAGGUACACUUAGAAAUCUUGAGCACCGAGGAAAUGUUCCUGGAAGUGGUUCGUGGAAAGGCUUACAGCCUUGCCUUGGAAAGAUCAAGCUGGAAAUUCUGGCUUCACACACAAUCUGAGAACAUCUCUCCUUCUUUUAGGUUCAAAAUACAGAUUUGAAAUAACUGAAUCUGGGGCUGUAAGAAUACAAGGCGAUUUAGAGCCGUAACCAUUAAGUCUAUGACCUUACAGAUCAUCCAGUCCAACCUCCCACGGCAGGAAAUAUGGAAAUCCACAUUACUCUGAGCAAUCCCAGUGACAGAUGGGUCCCUGCCCAGUGCCUGUCAUUUCCUCUGAGGCAAUACAAGCCAAUGUUAGAUCGUGGAACCAGAUGACUGAAGUUGCAAUGACUGUCUGAGGUUUAAACAGGGCAUGGAGAAACAUUCACUGAGAGAAUAUAGGUCAAUAUAUUCAAUAAGCACUAGGUCACAUACGUUCACAUAGCUAGUUAUCUCAACUAAUUCUAGCCCAGUUAGAAAAGACUAUGCUGUUAUAUUUAGUUCAUGUUCAUUUUGGUGCAUUUACACAUGAACUACAGCCCAAAUGCCAUGGAAGAGAUCUACAGGUCUCACCUCUAAUUUGAGCUUCUUAAACAACAGAAAAAAGGAGGGGGAAAACCAUCUUCAGAAUUUCUCAGUUAAUUAUUACUUUUUAAAACUCCAACUUAUUUCUGAGGGCUCUGUUCUGUUCCAUUGAUCUAUAUCUCUGUUUUGGUACCAGUACCAUGCUGUUUUGGUUACUGUAGCCUUGUAGUA
Molecule: long non-coding RNA, 4492 nt
Filed under: Homo sapiens (human)
Lineage: Eukaryota; Metazoa; Chordata; Mammalia; Primates; Hominidae
Description: HSALNT0175275
Source: RNAcentral